GGGCGCAUAGCUCAGUUGGUAGAGCAGCUGACUCUUAAUCAGCGGGUCCAAGGUUCGAAUCCUUGUGCGCCUACCA
RNAcentral lists this transfer RNA (76 nucleotides) under Candidatus Endolissoclinum faulkneri L2. Its description in RNAcentral is "tRNA-Lys (CTT) (tRNA-Lys-CTT-1-1)". It matches the Rfam family "tRNA". From Rfam's summary of the family: Transfer RNA (tRNA) molecules are approximately 80 nucleotides in length. Their secondary structure includes four short double-helical elements and three loops (D, anti-codon, and T loops). Further hydrogen bonds mediate the characteristic L-shaped molecular structure. tRNAs have two regions of fundamental functional importance: the anti-codon, which is responsible for specific mRNA codon recognition, and the 3' end, to which the tRNAs corresponding amino acid is attached (by aminoacyl-tRNA synthetases). tRNAs cope with the degeneracy of the genetic code in two manners: having more than one tRNA (with a specific anti-codon) for a particular amino acid; and 'wobble' base-pairing, i.e. permitting non-standard base-pairing at the 3rd anti-codon position. The record is from RNAcentral. Lineage: Bacteria; Pseudomonadati; Pseudomonadota; Alphaproteobacteria; Rhodospirillales; Rhodospirillaceae.